UAGAGUUUGAUCCUGGCUCAGAUUAAACGCUGGCGGCAUGGCUAAAGCAUGCAAGUCGCACGAGAACUCGCCCUCGGGCGGGGGACAGUGGCGAAAGGGCGAGUAACGCGCUUCUUAUGUGCCCCAAGGUGGAGGAUAGGUCAGGGAAACUUGGCGUAAUACUUCAUGUGCUCUUCGGAGGAAAGGCUUCGGCCGCCUUGGGAGCAGGAAGCGUCCUAUCAGGUUGUUGGUGAGGUAAAGGCUCACCAAGCCUCAGACGGGUAGCGGGUGUGAGAGCGUGACCCGCCGCAUCGGGACUGAGACACUGCCCGGACUCCUACGGGAGGCUGCAGCGACGAAUCUUCCGCAAUGCACGAAAGUGUGACGGAGCAAUGCCGCGUGCGGGAUGAAGCGGCUCCGCCGUGUAAACCGCUGUCAGGGGUCCGAAAUACUGAUCAACCCCAAAGGAAGGGCCGGCUAACCUCGUGCCAGCAGCCGCGGUAAUACGAGGGGCCCGAGCGUUAUCCGGAAUCACUGGGCUUAAAGGGUGCGUAGGCGGAUGCGCAAGCGUCCUGUGAAAUCCCUCGGCUCAACCGAGGAACUGCAGGGCGAACUGCGUGUCUUGGGACAGAUAGGGGCCGUCGGAACGAUCGGUGGAGCGGUGAAAUGCAUAGAUAUCAAUCGGAACGCCGAAGGAGAAGUCGGGCGGCUAGGCCUGUUCUGACGCUGAGGCACGAAAGCGUGGGGAGCGAACGGGAUUAGAUACCCCGGUAGUCCACGCCCUAAACGAUGCGCACUAGAUCGAGGCGGUUUCGAAGCCGUCUCGGUCGUAGAGAAAUCAUUAAGUGCGCCGCCUGGGGAGUACGGUCGCAAGGCUAAAACUCAAAGGAAUUGACGGGGGCUCACACAAGCGGUGGAGCAUGUUGCUUAAUUCGAAGCAACGCGAAGAACCUUACCUGGGUUUGACAUGCAUGGAUUAGCUUUUUGAAACAAGAGUGACGCUUUCGAGUGGAACAUGCACAGGUGCUGCAUGGCUGUCGUCAGCUCGUGCUGUGAAGUGUCGGGUUAG
RNAcentral lists this ribosomal RNA (1048 nucleotides) under uncultured Planctomycetota bacterium. Its description in RNAcentral is "bacterial SSU rRNA". It matches the Rfam family "Bacterial small subunit ribosomal RNA", at positions 1 to 1083 of the family's 1533-position model. Lineage: Bacteria; Pseudomonadati; Planctomycetota. The record is from RNAcentral.